GGCUCCUACGGGGGGCAGCAGUGAGGAAUAUUGGUCAAUGGACGCAAGUCUGAACCAGCCAUGCCGCGUGCAGGAAGACGGCUCUAUGAGUUGUAAACUGCUUUUGUACGAGGGUAAACGCAGAUACGUGUAUCUGUCUGAAAGUAUCGUACGAAUAAGGAUCGGCUAACUCCGUGCCAGCAGCCGCGGUAAUACGGAGGAUGCGAGCGUUAUCCGGAUUUAUUGGGUUUAAAGGGUGCGUAGGCGGAUCGUUAAGUCAGUGGUCAAAUUGAGGGGCUCAACCCCUUCCCGCCAUUGAAACUGGG
Molecule: ribosomal RNA, 305 nt
Filed under: uncultured bacterium
Lineage: Bacteria
Description: bacterial SSU rRNA
Rfam family: Bacterial small subunit ribosomal RNA
Source: RNAcentral